UUCUCCUCCUUCCCCAGUGGGGCCAGCAUGGACAAGGAAGGGAAGCAAGAGGCAAAUUUAGCAGUGACCCUGUAAAGCCUCCAUCCCAUAUCUCUGUCCUCCCAAGCCAUGCCCAGAGGUCCCAUGUGCUGAACUGGGGGCCCAAGGGAGACCAGUGGAAGCCAGCACUGAAGGACACCGAGCCAGAUCAACUCGAGGACCUGAUUCACAGCCUAGCCCCACGACCUGUUGUGCCAGCACAACGAAGGAGAAUCACAGGAGCACGAGCGGCCAAGAAUGCUUCAAGCGAGCAUCACUGCCAAACGUGGAUCCUCCUCCUGCAUGCAUGCAGCAGAGAUCUGGGAUGAGAGUCUGUGAGGAUUACAAGAAACCAGGAGUGAUAACAGAGCCGGAAAGGGCACAGAAGAGUUUCCUGCAAUGUCUUGAAGAGGAAAGGCUUCAUCAGCUGCUCCCAUGUGCCCACAGGGGCUUGGCACUGGGAUUUCCAGUCCCAAAAGACUAAAGCUCUGCAGGCAGACACAAAGGAGAUGCUUUCUGCUGUGGGAAGCUCAGCGCUGUGGAGCAGGUUACCAGAGAGGCUACGCCAUCUCCAGUCUUCAUUUUCAAGAACUGAGCAGGUAAAGCCCAGAUUUCAGGGCUGAGCCUGCUUUGGUUGGGCUAGAGAACCUCCUUAGAUCCUUGCUGACCUGAAUUACACCAUGAUCCUCAAUAGGGAGAGGGGGAA
Oxyura jamaicensis (ruddy duck) is the source of this 724-nucleotide long non-coding RNA. RefSeq lists it as uncharacterized. Lineage: Eukaryota; Metazoa; Chordata; Aves; Anseriformes; Anatidae. The record is from RefSeq and is a predicted model, not a curated record. The transcript is spliced from 3 exons.